UACGUAGGUCCCGAGCGUUAUCCGGAUUUAUUGGGCGUAAAGCGAGCGCAGGCGGUUGGAUAAGUCUGAAGUUAAAGGCUGUGGCUCAACCAUAGUAUGCUUUGGAAACUGUUCAACUUGAGUGCAGAAGGGGAGAGUGGAAUUCCAUGUGUAGCGGUGGAAUGCGUAGAUAUAUGGAGGAACACCGGUGGUGAAAGCGGCUCUCUGGUCUGUAACUGACGCUGAGGCUCGAAAGCGUGGGUAGCGAACAGG
RNAcentral lists this ribosomal RNA (252 nucleotides) under uncultured bacterium. Its description in RNAcentral is "partial 16S ribosomal RNA". It matches the Rfam family "Bacterial small subunit ribosomal RNA", at positions 524 to 776 of the family's 1533-position model. The record is from RNAcentral.